This 254-nucleotide ribosomal RNA is filed under the name uncultured bacterium. RNAcentral describes it as "partial 16S ribosomal RNA". It matches the Rfam family "Bacterial small subunit ribosomal RNA", at positions 524 to 776 of the family's 1533-position model. The record is from RNAcentral.
UACGUAGGGUGCAAGCGUUAAUCGGAAUUAUUGGGCGUAAAGGGCGCGUAGGCGGCCUUGCAAGUCGGUUGGUGAAAGCCCGGGGCUCAACCCCGGAGGUGCGGCCGAGACUGCAGGGCUGGAGGCCGGAAGAGGAGGGUGGAAUACCCAGUGUAGAGGUGAAAUUCGUAGAUAUCAAGCGGAACACCGGUGGCGAAGGCGGCCUUCUGGAUAGUGACUGACGCUGAGGCGCGAAAGCGUGGGGAGCAAACAGG